GGUUCAUUAGCUCAGUCGGUAGAGCACCUGACUUUUAAUCAGGGUGUCUGGGGUUCAAAUCCCCAAUGAGCCACCA
This 76-nucleotide transfer RNA is filed under the name Eubacteriaceae bacterium. RNAcentral describes it as "tRNA-Lys". It matches the Rfam family "tRNA". From Rfam's summary of the family: Transfer RNA (tRNA) molecules are approximately 80 nucleotides in length. RNAcentral also lists the same sequence under 1 other name. Lineage: Bacteria; Bacillati; Bacillota; Clostridia; Eubacteriales; Eubacteriaceae. The record is from RNAcentral.